Molecule: ribosomal RNA, 830 nt
Filed under: uncultured archaeon
Lineage: Archaea
Description: bacterial SSU rRNA
Rfam family: Archaeal small subunit ribosomal RNA
Source: RNAcentral
CGGGGAUUGGAUUCGUUAAGAAUGCGAGUCGAGUAUAAUUUGGUCUCGGCGGACCGCUCAGUAACACGCGGAUAACAUGCCCUUGGGUGGGGGAUAACCUCGGGAAACUGAGAAUAAUACCCCAUAGACCUCGAAAGCUGGAAUGCCUCAAGGUCGAAAACUCCGGUGCCCAAGGAUUGGUCUGCGGCGUAUCAGGUCGUAGUGGGUGUAACGUACCCCCUAGCCUAUGACGCGUAAGGGCCUUGAGAGAGGGAGCCCUGAGAUGGACUCUGAGACAUGAGUCCAGGCCCUACGGGGCGCAGCAGUCGCGAAACCUUCGCAAUGUGGGAAACCACGACGAGGGAAUUCCAAGUGCUAAUGCAAUGCAUUAGCUGUUCUCCCGUCUAAAAAACAGGAGAAGUAAGGGCUGGGUAAGACGGGUGCCAGCCCGCCCGCGGUAAUCCCCGCGGCCCGAGUGGUGCUCGAUUUUUUUGAGCUUAAAGCGUACGUAGCCGGUCUUGUAAAUCCUUGGGUAAAUCGGGCAGCUUAACUGUUUCGACUUCCGAGGAGAUUGCAUGACUUGGGACCGGGAGAGGUCAGAGGUACCUUUGGGGUAGGGGUAAAAUCCUGUAAUCCUGAAGGGACCAACCAGUGGCAAAGGCGUCUGACUAGAACGGGAUCCGACGGUGAGGAACGAAGCCCUGGGGCGCAAACGGGAUUAGAUACCCCGGUAGUCCAGGGUGUAAACGCUGCGGGGCUUGGUGUCGGGGGUCCUACGGGGGCGCCCGGUGCCGGAGAGAAAUUGUUAAGCCUGCCGCUUGGGGAGUACGGUCGCAAGACUGAACUUAAAG